Urocitellus parryii (Arctic ground squirrel) is the source of this 1093-nucleotide long non-coding RNA. RefSeq lists it as uncharacterized. The record is from RefSeq and is a predicted model, not a curated record. NCBI's taxonomy places the organism in Eukaryota, Metazoa, Chordata, Mammalia, Rodentia, Sciuridae.
CUUUGCCAAAAAAUGAGCAGACACUCUUGUGUUCCGUGAGUUGCCACAGCUCUCUCCCUGGGCUGGAAAGAAAGAAGGUUCAGAGGCCUGUGUACAGAGUUGAGACUUACGAGACUCAAGAGGUGCUCUGAAUGGGAAGUGGCCACUGGCUCAGCUCAGAAAAAGGAUGAAGCUGGCCUCUCUCCUGGUGACCCUGAUUUUCCACUCCCUACACCCUUGUCCUUACUGAGGAAGUGGAAGCUGUUCCUUCAUGGGAGCUCUCCAGGUCAUGCCUGGGGUCUGGCCUGGGGCCCUGUUUCCUUGCUGGCUGAAAGGCAGGCAUUGAACAGAGCUCAGGUCCCUGUGGCCUCUCCUGCCACCUGCUGGCCAGAAUGGAAACUACUGCCCUGGCUGGUCGGGGGCCAUCUGCCCAGCAGUGGAGUAGAAGGCGUGACCUGCAUCCUGACCAGCUGUCAGAACCAUGCAUGCUGGUCUCAUGGUAACCCACACUCCUGAGCCAGCAAGUGUGGUCACCUGGUGAGGCCACACAGUCCUGUGUCAGAGAUGCUCCUGCGGCCUGAGGGGCUCCCCUCUACCCUGAGGCAACUGGGUGCUCCUAGCCCCAGGACACCAUCCUCCCAACCCUACUCCCACCUUCUCUGCUUUUCUACCCUGGGCCAGGGUCCAGACCAGCUGGCACCUCUGCCCCUGCCCCUGUGCACAGGCCUAGCUGUUAGGUCUGCCCCUUCCACCUCUGGCCUCCUCUCCCCUUGGCUAUCUUCCCACCUUGUUCCUGACCCAGUCCCGGCCCCUCUGCUCAGCAGCUAGUGGGGCAGACUUGGGAGGCCUGCUGGAGAAAGCUGGGGGGCUGGCGCCUACCUUGCCCUCCCUGGACUCCACCUACACACCCAGGGUGCAAGAGGCCACAGCACUGAACCCCACAGUGGGAAGGGAGGCAUCACCCACACACCAGCAUGGUGCCUGUGGGAAUUGGUAACAUUGUAGUCAUUUCUGUUUUUGAAAAUUUAACACUGUGAAAAACCCCAUUUUGGAGCUGGGCUUGUGUCUCAGUGGUAGAGCGCUUGCCUGGCAUGUGUGAGGUAGUGGGUUCCAU